Long non-coding RNA from Bombus huntii, 7863 nucleotides. RefSeq lists it as uncharacterized. The transcript has 2 exons. The record is from RefSeq and is a predicted model, not a curated record. NCBI's taxonomy places the organism in Eukaryota, Metazoa, Arthropoda, Insecta, Hymenoptera, Apidae.
UAUCUUAUCGCUCUCAUCGAGCUGGUACAACUAUCGUGCGUCCCGGGAGUUCCCAUGAUCAUAAACUCAAUCGCUGAUAACGUCACUGAUGAUCGUGUGCUAAAUUGACCCUCCUGGAGAGUCUCGGUGACAGGGCGAACGUGUUAGAGCCCAGCCAAGGGACAGUGGACCCGGUGAACGGAUGCGGCGAUCAUCAGCGGAGAAAAAGCACGCCGACCAGGCAAAGUGACUGGGGGUGUACCCCCUUUUUCAUUUAAAUUACUCGAAGGCGGUAGUGGUGCGACGCGGCCGGCAUACCUAAUGGCCGCAUAUUGUGCGCUGCCACUGCCACUCAAGGCAAACCGAGAACACACUACUGCGUCAACGGCUGGCGGACCUGUUCGCGACAGGAAAAUAAUACCGAGUUCCUCAUAAUUCGUGGCUGCUUUUUGUCUAUGGAUAUAUAGGUACAGGUGUACGCAUGCUCUGGCUGUGUACGAGGUAUAUGUUACAUUAUCACGUGAAGAUCACGUAAUCGUUUAUCCAAAUGGCAGCGUAUAUUCUAGUCUACGUGAGUAUUCCGUCUCAUGGGAACUGAUGGUUGGCCUCCUCUUCGAUGAUCCAUGCAAGAGGGACACGUCGUCGAGUGCAGUUGGUCGAGGACAUCACAAGAGCUGAACUCGACUGAGAGUUGAAUAGAAUAGGUGAAGAGUUUAAGUUGAUUGAAUGGCUGAUUUGGAUAGACAAUGGAUCAUUCUAGUGGCUUUUACUAGUUGUCAAAGUAAGCUUUCAAGGUGAAGUUUUGUACGAGUUAUUUGAAGGAUAUAUUCGUGCUGUUAGCCCUCAACAGCGUAAUAAAUUACCAAUGACUAUCGUGGCAGUCGCGUUAAACAAAUGUCAAAAUCGCAAUGAAACCUUGUGAUUUUUCACAGCCAAUUUUCAGAAAUUAUUUAGUUGAGUAUGGAGUAGAUUGAAUGAAAUAGUUCAGCGCACGCUGAUUACAAUGGUCAAAUUAAAAUUCAACGCAACGCGAAGCUUGAUCGAGCCCAUAUUCUUGCUGUUGUACCGUAUUUCAACGUGGAAGGUUAUUAAGCAGGUAGAUAGCGAGCAAAGGUACGUAUACAAUAAACUGAGCAACUGAGCGUGACAUGAAACGGCGCGAGGAAGCGCAAACAUCCAUUUACGUUCGUAACGGAUGCGUAAAUACGUGUGCAGAGAUAGAGGAAUAAGUGGACGUUGAACGUUCCUGACUACGUUCGUUGGCAUAUAAAAAGAAAGACAAUACCUAACCAGUUGGCUCAUGCUGGAUAAACUAAUUAACGAUUGAACGAUGUCGGAAAUAAUUAGUCGCGUAUCCUAUUCGCGAUAUAAUUAAAUGCUGGCUAGCGAGGCCUUCACCCCCUUUGUCGCAAAUUAAUUUGUAUAUCUGCGCGAUUCGCGACAAAUAAACUUCGUCCGAGCGGAAUUAAUUCCAGAUAAAUGAAAGUAUAAAUAUCAAUAUUCGGUAGUAAAAAAAAGACAAAAAAUAUGAAGUUAAAUUUAACCCAAAUCAAAGUGGUUUAAAAAUCCAGAAAAGUUGGCAAAAAUUGUGAAAUUAUUAAAUAGAAAUCGUCAUGCUGUAUAGAAUGUACUGAGAAAUCCUAAAGCUUAUGGAAAAACUAAAAAUGUGGCAGACCUCGUGUUACACCUGAACGUGACAGACGGGUAAUUUUGAGCGUUGCCUCGAAUUUUGAGGGGACUGCAAGGUCAAUCACCGAAAAUUUCUUUGAACAGAGAAAAAUGAUUGUGCCUAUAUUGUAAUAAGAUUCGUACAAUUUAACCUUUAUUGAAAGACAAAUUAAAAGGCAAUGACCAAGCAUUUUUAAAUCUAAAAUAAUUUUGCAACUGGCUUUAUAUGAGUAUUACUCCGUUUUAUAUACAGAGCGAUCAUUACUAAUUAUGAAAGAUGUCUGAAAAAUUUAGAAGCAUAUAAACAUGCAAAUAUAGACACAUGACUUUUCAAUUAACGCAGAUUCGAAAAUCUUGAUUAAACUAUGAUUUCAUAUAAUAGAAUAUAAUUUGACUUAUAAUGCGAAAAGUCGAAAAAAAUAAGUCGUAAAAAGUAAAUCGAAAAAAAUUUUCGAUAUACUAAAUCUAACUUCCCUAUCACUAAUUUUGUUUCACGGUACAAGUAAUUUUACGGUAAAAUAUUUGUCAUGUUAUCUUCAAACGUAUCGUUGACACAAAGAAUAGCCUUUAUGGAAGCAAGAAUAAAAAUGUGAUUGGUUGAGUACACACCUUUAUCUAAUUUAGUCUUCGUCUGUGUUGAUUCUAGGAUUUGUGCUAACUGGACGUUUCUUACGUACUUUUGCAAGUGCUGUAUGAUUUUGUAUUUCGCAGAUCUGUUUUUAAACCAUCGCAUUAAAGACUCUUUAUUUGGAGGUUUACAAAAAUUAUGAAAAUAAAACUUUCGUUUAAAAUAUUGUAAGUGGUACUGAACAAAAUUAAAUACAGUAUAAAUGGAAUAUAGUAUAAGAGUUUUCGAAAUGGAUAUUCUUUGACAAACAACGCAGGCUUCAAUUAUCUCAGGGUAUAAUGAAAUUAAAGCAGAAUAUAAUAUUUUUGAAAUGGGUAAAGUACAUCAAUAUACUAUGUUAUAACCAUGAAAUAUAUAUAAAUUUACGAAUGUUUAUGAUGAUAUAAAAAGAAAUUAUAAAAUCAGUUUAAAUGUAAGCUGUUCUUUAUUAAUACAUAGUGUAUGAAAUUCUCCAGUCACUUCCGAUGAAUCAUCAAAAAAUUAUACCUAUGAUAAGUAUGCUAACAAUCAGGUGUAAUACAUAUGCAUUCCUACAGUUCCAGUUAACUACAAUACGACACGGUUUAUAAAUUACUUUGAAUACACUUUAGUUGGUGAAUAUAUGCUUCACAGAGAUUUUUAUCUGUAUGUGUUGAGCAAAUUGGAGUUUAUCAAAGCCAUAUUGAAGGCAUUGGAACGUUUGGAUAAAAUCAAAACGAUUAAAAUUCUUAUGGGGUAGUAGUUUCUUACUUAUGGCUUGCGAAUUUGCGUCCUAUGCGUUCAGAAAAAAUUAAUCAAAAAGACAAUCACAUGAUUUUAUCACAAAAAUAGAUUUAAUUUAUAAAAUAAAAAUACGACAGUUAAAAAGUAAUAUCUUUUGUUAGAAUGCAACGACUCCCAUUUUACAUAUAAAUAUCGUACAAAAUCUCGAAUCAACUAAAAUUACCAUCUGCUCGUUUUUUAAAUCUAAAUUGACCUUAAAAAUGGUGCAAAAUACUAUUUUUUGACAAAAACGUUCAUCGUACUCUCUCAGUUUGCAUAUAAGGUAUAUGUUUAAUAAUUUUUAAGCAUUAAUCAUAAUUUCAAUAGCUUAUUAUCACGUAGUAUUAUACCUAUUAUCGUCCCGUCAUUCUUGAAAUUAUGUUUACUAUGAUAAGUAUGCACUACAGAAACGUGCAAUUAAUUCAUAAAUUUUAAUGGUAGAGAAAGAAAUAGAAACAGGUCAACGAAAGCAUACAAUAACGAUGCUUGUUUCUCUUCAACAUGCAACCUAUAUAGCCCGGCAAUUCUCAUUUUUCCCCUAGUUUUUCAUCAGGACAGAUAACAAUGCGAGGCAUAUUUGCGGAAUAAUGAAGCAACCCGGCACACGGCGCGACAAAAUCUUGACUGACAGGAAACUUGGAUCAAAACACAACUGGAGUAAACUCCGGUUCGACGGAAAUUCAUCCGAACAAUUAUCUUCGGAAUGAAAUGGCACCAAUUAAACGAGUUUCUCCUGUUCUUCCGAGCUUGCAAAAACGACGUCGGUACUAAUUAGCAAAGUCCACGCUCCAAGUGAAUUUCAUACCAGGAUCUACGAGUCUUGGAUACUCCGCCAACUAUUCUGGGCUGUCUUCUACCUCAUAAACGAUCCAAAGUACUUUCAACAAUACCACUCGGCAAUUUCUUCCUGCGACAGAAUACUCGUUUUUCCCUCUUGGUCAUUGGACAUGCAUCCAGAUAUUUGGUCAAAGCUAAUUUUAUCGCAUGCCCCUAUUUUGCAUCCAACAUAAUUGAUCAUUUUUCAGAAAUAUUUAUAACGUAAGGAAAAUUUUACUUUUUACUUUAUACUAUUACAAACUAUAAAGUUCAAUUAUCAAUUCAAUUUUAACUAUCUUAUCAAUUAUCUUAUCUCACACUAUUUUUUACUUAUCGUCCUUGUUUCUUUUUCAAUAUUGCAAUUAACAUUUUUCAAUUUUUUUUCAAUUUUCAAUUAUCGAUUGCCUAUUGGCAUAUAAUAAAUAAUUCCCUUCGGGUAUAAUUAGAUAUAUGGUAAAACUUAAUGACGAUUAUAAAAUAAACUAUCGAUUAACAGUCAGUUUUAAUCAAUUAUUAGUAUUAUUAAAUUAAUAACGAUAGUUACCGUUAUAACAGCCAUGUAAUUAUACUUAGCCUUAUACAUGUGGGAAAGAAGAACGUAGUAAUGAAUAAACUGUCGAGACGAACACGAGAACUUAAUCAACGCUUUGAAUACGUAUUACGAUGUAAUCGGCUUAAAAAGAAACGAGGACUGACGGUUCACGUGCGAAAACGGAGACUGUUUAUGUUAAUCACUCGUUUUAAUCAAGCCUUCAGACUAUUUUAAUUUUAACUACAAAGUAGUUAUUUUUGUUCUUUAUUUAUCUGUUUGGAGCUCCUAUUUAUUCACCACCUAUGUGAAUAAACUCAAAAUUUACAUUAAAAGUGUUGAGCUUUAGGUUUCUUGCGAUCUUUUGUAAGGCACAUUGCCUCUGCUUGUUUUUUGACAAAUUAUUACAUUGAUUAUAAUGUCAUAUUAAAUUAAAUUAAUUAUCAAAUUGACCCGAUGAUUGUUGUAGGUAUGCAUAAUAAGUGAUCAGUUAAAUAAUUUGAUUUUUGAGUUUGAGUUGUUUAUUAUUUCUAAAUUGAUAAGGUGAAAAUAUUACUCGUAUUUUAAAGAGAAAAGUAAAUUAUUAUACUAGAUUAUGUGAACUAUAUAUUAAAGAUCAGUGACGAUAUGGUGAAAGAACAAUGCUAUAUUUGAGAAAUUACUUAAAGGAUUGUAUAUUUUUUGAAACACUUUAAUUUGGCUGAAAUGCAAACGUGAACGUGAAAGUGAAAACAGCACUUCUCAAUCAUGUCACUUUCAAUGACAAUUUUGGAAGAUAUUCUUGGAAGAACGUUUCCGAGGCUACGAGGUCUUUUGAAUCAGUUGGAAAAAUCAUAAUAUGUAUCUGAAACCAUCGAAUCUCUCAGAACAUUGAAAAGACAGGAAUAGUCAGGAACGUUAGAUAAACUUUAAAAUCAAUACUACAUACUUCAAAUUCUUCAAGCUUUGAAUUUGAAAAGUUUACUCGGAGCCUAAUCAUUAAAACUUAUACAUUUUUAUUCUAGAGUUUAAACUUUCAUUAGUAUUUAUCAUAAACAAAUUCUUAUUACAUUAUUCUUUUAAAUGGUUUCACGAAAUAUUUUUCAAGCUAAUGUUGUAAGCAAUGCGUUUAAAUAAACAAUUAUCUGUUUAUUAAUUAUUAGUAUAAUUUACCUCAUCUCCUACAAUUGUUUGCCACCUUCCUAUUUUAUUUUAUAUCCAUUUUUCAUAAAGUAUUUAUCGUGCCAAAAUCCAUUAUUUUAAGUUCAUCUCUCACAAAAACUACAUUACUUAUAUUGUAACAUGAUACAAUAACCUGUAUUACAAAAUAAUCCAAAAUAUUAUACGUAAACGAGUCUACGUUGAUUACAAGUUAUCGACAUUUAAGUAGGUAAUACUUUACCUGCCAUAAUACUUUAACUAUCAUAUUCUCUUUAUUUCCUAAUAUUCAAAAAAUGAUUUCACGUUAUAAAAAAGCAAUAAAAUUAUGUGACUAAUAUCGUGGAAAGCUUCGUUGAGGCAAUUUGAAUUGCAACGUAUUUAAGAGAAUGACGCAACAUUAGGCAAGAUUUAAAACGUACAAGUUUAAAUUUAUACGUCAUAUUAAGGCACGAAUUGUACUAUAAAAGAAAUAAAAUAAACAUAUAUGCCAAUUGGCAAUAUUCCUGGCGCAUUUUCUACCAACGAGAACAAGGAGAAAACGAUUAUUUGGGUGUACGACAAUACUGCAUACAACUUUUCGUAUAAAACUGCGUAACAACGGCAGGCCGACGCAGCUCUUGAUUUGCGAAGUUUUAUAGCAAGAUGGCACUAUUCCGGCAGGAAAAUGCCCACUAUGAGAAAAGUUAAGUCCAUUUAGAAAUAUGUACGCGCUUACAUAAUCCGGAAACGAGAGAUUUAUAGACUUAAAGCGAGAGAAUUCACGAGAUUUUCUUUACUAAUGAGUCUAUCUUUCGCUAAUGUAUACAUAUAGUCUAUUGAUAUAUUCAGUGUAUAUUACUACUAUUUAUACAUAUACAUAUGUACUGCCGAUCGUAAGUACUAGGAUAUCUAUUAAUAUCUAGCAUGAAUUGAAUGCUUUUCACUGUCACUAAUUUCUGUAUAUUUUAUUAUAAAUCUGUUAUUCCAUUUGCAUUAUAUGCAUCUGAUAAUAAAAUACUAAAUAAAGCGAAAUUUUUUAGUUUUCCAAUAAAUAUCAUAAAUAAGUAUGAGAAGUUUUCCGAGAACGAAAGAUUUAUAGAUAUAAAUUAAAACGAAAAAUAUUCGCGAGAUUUUACGAAUGAAUCUAUCUUCCCUUAAUGUUGCAUUCGAUUUAUAUUACUAUUAUCUAUGUAUGGUAUUCUCUAACCUCCGGAAAGAUCAAUCUUUAUUACUAUUACUAACUCUUUAUUACUAAUUCUACAUCGUACUAAGUAUUAGCCAAACGUUCCGAGAAGUUUCGAAUGUCUUGUAUCAGAUAAAUAUCGAAUAUCGUGUGUGUCAUUGAUAGUAAGAAGAACAAUGUUUUGAUUCGAUCAGCUUGUUUGAUAUUCUUUGACGAAACCGAUCUAUGUCGAUCGAACAUUUGUUUUGAAUGUCUCGAGUCGGCGCGAUAGUUAUGAUGAGUCACACACGAUAACCGAAUCGGUUUAUUCCCUGAACUAUUUUUAGUAAAUAUUUCAAGUCGUCUAUUUGUCACGAAUAUAUGCAAGUAGGUAUGUAGAUACAUAUGUAUUUACAUUAUAGAAUAUAAAGUUGGCAUCUAUUAUCUUAAUAACGUUUAAUUUAAAGCUUCUAAUACUUUAACAUUAAAGCUAUCGAUAACUAAAAAAAUAUAGAGCCUAUACUAAACAAAUCUAAAUGGAAGUAUUAUAAAAAAUAUACAUAUAAUACAAAAAGAAAGACAAACUUUCCCAACCCACAAAUCCGAUAGUUGUAGUAUUAACGAUUGAAAAAAGAAAAUAUAAUCUAACAGUUGAACGUUUUAUACAUGUACAACAAACAAGCUGCGAUUAACGAAUGAGCACUAACUUUUCGAACACCCUAUACCUUUGUCUAUACGUUUCGCCCCCGCACGUAAUACUCGGUGUACGCAUGCUCCUUUCGCUCAUAACAGCAUUUAUUCAGCUGUUACGCGCAAGAUCACGAAUAUGACCUUAGCAAUUGCCAAGGAAUUCUAUCGAGCGCGACUCUUUAUUCACUUGUCCAUUCCCCUCGGAAAAUUAUUCAGUUGUUCGAGAACAACGAAUUGAAAAACUCGAUUCGUUGUAGGGUCGACAGAAACUAAUUUCGAAGGUAAUCCCGAAAGACAAACAACGAUAACGACGGAGCGUCGAACGUGACCGGAUCCAUCUGUCGGCAUAAUUAGUCUCGGGCAAAUUGUCCCUUCGUACGUCACUCGUGUCGAAUUUUUAUGUUACAGACGAAAAAGUCGGGGCUUUUUCGUUUGUUUGCCGUAACCACAAAACUGUGUACUCACCGGGGAAGCUGUGCGUAUAUGCGACGAAACACGCUGCGACGAGUAGAACUUCAGCAAAGGUUUUCA